RNAcentral lists this long non-coding RNA (286 nucleotides) under Panax ginseng (ginseng). RNAcentral describes it as "long non-coding RNA (PGIN_LNC010133)". The record is from RNAcentral. Lineage: Eukaryota; Viridiplantae; Streptophyta; Magnoliopsida; Apiales; Araliaceae.
CUUAAGCUUCUUAACUUCAAUUAAUCCAAGCUUGUUAUCCUCUAAUAUAUUUCAAUCUUUGAUUCCAAUUUGGCUAAACUCCCUCAAACAUACGGUCCCUUCACUUUAUCAUAUUUGGAAAAUUUACAAAAUUCAAGCAAUUUGGGAGAGAGAUGGUUCGGUUAUAGGGAGGGAGGAUGAUACUUUGUUUUAUCAACUUAAUAUUAGAGUAGCUCUCACACUUCUUCCUCUCCUCUAUCUCACGGCAAAAAGGAAAGGAAAUUAUCUUUAGAAUAAAGCUUGCAAU